This 493-nucleotide ribosomal RNA is filed under the name uncultured bacterium. RNAcentral's name for it is "partial 16S ribosomal RNA". It matches the Rfam family "Bacterial small subunit ribosomal RNA", at positions 30 to 523 of the family's 1533-position model. The record is from RNAcentral.
AUUGAACGCUGGCGGCAUGCUUUACACAUGCAAGUCGAACGGUAACAAGUUAAGCUGACGAGUGGCGAACAGGUGAGUAAUGCAUCGGAACGUGCCCGGUCGUGGGGGAUAACGCAGCGAAAGCUGCGCUAAUACCGCAUACGAUCUAAGGAUGAAAGCGGGGGACCGUAAGGCCUCGCGCGAUCGGAGCGGCCGAUGUCAGAUUAGGUAGUUGGUGGGGUAAAGGCUCACCAAGCCAACGAUCUGUAGCUGGUCUGAGAGGACGACCAGCCACACUGGGACUGAGACACGGCCCAGACUCCUACGGGAGGCAGCAGUGGGGAAUUUUGGACAAUGGGCGAAAGCCUGAUCCAGCAAUGCCGCGUGCAGGAAGAAGGCCUUCGGGUUGUAAACUGCUUUUGUACGGAGCGAAAAGGUCUCCUCUAAUACAGGGGGCUCAUGACGGUACCGUAAGAAUAAGCACCGGCUAACUACGUGCCAGCCGCCGCGGUAA